CAUCUCCCUGUGCUUCAAUAUCUCUCUGCAGACAGGAGAUAAAUGUCAUUGCCUGACUCCUGGGGAUCUGCUGAGGACGAGGCCAAAGUGGAUUAAAUAGCUGCUAAUCUUCAAUCAUUCAGCAUUUCCCUGGGAUCAGGGUUUGAGGAUGGCAUUGGCGUGCCGACAUUUCAGCCUCCGGUUCCUUAAUGACAGUAAACCCCAGGGAAUCUCAGAAACCCAGAACUGCCUCAGUUCACAAAAGAUGGAAGAACACUGUAAUUAACGAAAUACAGAAAAGAUUUGGCUUCAUUUCCAAGAGAAUCAGACGAGUCCAUCAGUCUCCACUGCCUUUUGUGGGCUCUCUGUGCCGUACGCAGCCCAUGCCGUGCCUGCCCAGGGGUUACCUGCCCAUGCAGGUGAGCACCCAAAGGCAGCACCCACUGGUGGGUGCACAGACAGUCCAUGCACAGUUUGUCAUCACUGCACCUCGGACACAGCUCAAAUGUGGGCAGCAGCACAGAUCCUGUGUGCUCAGGGUGAUGGCUGGGAGGGAUGCGGGGAAGCUCAAUGUGAGCAGAAGAAACAAAUGGUCAAUGAACGAGUAUUUAGGAGGGCAGUGAUGAAUGGGAACUGCCCUGAGCAAUUCAAUGAAAAAUUCAAUGGGAGGUGAAAAACGCUGAAAAUGGGGUGGAUGAGGGAAAACACUGCCCGGAAGGGCCUUGUGAAAAUCUCUGUGUGGCACAGAGAUCUCUGUGUGGCUGGUAACCACCACAAAGCAUCUGUAGGGCUUUGGGAGGAUUCCUCACUGGUGGGGCCGGGUGCAAGCAAGGAUUUAUUUGGUAGUUUUGUGUUGAAAUAUACAUCAGUGCUAGCAACAGCAGGUCUGACUGUAAUGAGCUUAAUGAAUGUGGCACAAGGGAUGUUUCAGGUAGAAGGCGAAAUGUGGGAUUUCUUGUGUGUAUAAUUAGGAUGCUCGGCAGCUGGGUAAGCUUUAAUUGCCAUCCAAAGCUCCUGAUCUUGCCAAAGAAUGAAGAGUGUGAAGAGAGCUAUUGAUUUCCAUCUGGACAAACAAUUUACUUUUUAGUGCUCAUCAGCCUGAUGUGUAUCUUCAUUCCCUGUCACUGCUGUGAUCAAGCUAAAGCUGCUUUCAUCGGCAGAUUUCAGGUGGGAUUUCAGCUGAAUAUGUGGUUAGAAUUGCAAGGCGUUAAUGGUAAAAACUGACUCACCACACUGGCAGUGCUCAAUAUGCUGUUAGUUUUGAAAAUCUCCACCUAUCUAGGUCCUUAUAUAAAGCACCUCUUUGCCGUAACGUCCAGUUGCAUCCCAAAAAUAAAACAGGCACAGAAAGAGCCUUCUUCUCUCCC
RNAcentral lists this long non-coding RNA (1346 nucleotides) under Parus major (Great Tit). RNAcentral describes it as "lncRNA (ENSPMJG00000019430.1)". Lineage: Eukaryota; Metazoa; Chordata; Aves; Passeriformes; Paridae. The record is from RNAcentral.